Molecule: non-coding RNA, 81 nt
Organism: Paragonimus heterotremus
Lineage: Eukaryota; Metazoa; Platyhelminthes; Trematoda; Plagiorchiida; Troglotrematidae
Source: the annotation of a GenBank genome assembly
GGCUUGAUAGCUCAGCUGGUACAGCGCUCGUUGUGUUCGAGUAUGGAGUUUCUUUCGCUGGUUCGAUUUCAGCCGAAGCCG